AUUGAACGCUGGCGGCAGGCUUAACACAUGCAAGUCGAGCGGGGUGAUGGUGCUUGCACUAUCACUUAGCGGCGGACGGGUGAGUAAUGCUUAGGAAUCUGCCUAUUAGUGGGGGACAACAUCUCGAAAGGGAUGCUAAUACCGCAUACGUCCUACGGGAGAAAGCAGGGGAUCACUUGUGACCUUGCGCUAAUAGAUGAGCCUAGGUCGGAUUAGCUAGUUGGUGGGGUAAAGGCCUACCAAGGCGACGAUCUGUAGCGGGUCUGAGAGGAUGAUCCGCCACACUGGGACUGAGACACGGCGCAGACUCCUACGGGAGGCAGCAGUGGGGAAUAUUGGACAAUGGGGGGAACCCUGAUCCAGCCAUGCCGCGUGUGUGAAGAAGGCCUUAUGGUUGUAAAGCACUUUAAGCGAGGAGGAGGCUCUUUUGGUUAAUACCCAAGAUGAGUGGACGUUACUCGCAGAAUAAGCACCGGCUAACUCUGUGCCAGCAGCCGCCGUAA
Molecule: ribosomal RNA, 503 nt
Filed under: uncultured bacterium
Lineage: Bacteria
Description: partial 16S ribosomal RNA
Rfam family: Bacterial small subunit ribosomal RNA
Source: RNAcentral